This 5165-nucleotide long non-coding RNA is filed under the name Heterocephalus glaber (naked mole-rat). RNAcentral describes it as "lncRNA (ENSHGLG00000040697.1)". The record is from RNAcentral. Lineage: Eukaryota; Metazoa; Chordata; Mammalia; Rodentia; Bathyergidae.
CCCCCCGCCACUCACCCUCCUGACCUCCUUGGGAAGCGCCAAGGAACGAUCCUAAAGAGGCCAGGUGUGGGGCUCUCCAAAACAGAAAAACCAGGAAAUUAAAAAGAUGUGUUUGUUUGGGGAUGUCUUCUGGUGUGGCUGGAGGUUAGGAAUAUUUGGGGAACAAAUUAGAGAUUCCUUUAGAAGCAUAAGAAUCAGAUGCUUGGAGGGGGGAUAGAUUUAGGAGAUCGAGUCUAUUGCCAGGGUUGUGGCUCCCAGAGAGACCCAGAAGCCCUCCUUUAACUCCUGGCUGAAUGGAGAGGGGAGAUGGGGAGACUGGGGUUCUCCAGGAGGAAGCUUGGGUGUCCAUGGGACACCGGGCUGGGGAGAGGGAUUGCUGAGGCCUCGGAGGUGCAGACUGGGGUCUGCAGUGGUCUGCAGUUCGCUCCCCGAGCUCCUCCAGCCGUAGUUGCAGAGGACUGAGUUUGUAGGGGAAGCCUGUGAUCCCUGAUGACUUGAAAAGGGUCCUGAGUCAGCCAUGGCUGCUGAGGCAGGCUCGAGACCCUCCUACCCAGCAGUCAGCAGGAGAGAGCUUGGGUGGCGGACCCUGGGCCAGGCAGGGUGUCCGUAGAGCUGCUUAAAGCCCCUUCUCUGGCUGUAUGUGGACUUGGGCUGGGGACACAUAAGAGAAUUGGGGGGUCUGGGGGAACCUGUCCUCAGAGUUGGGAUGGAAUGGCAGGAAAGGCAGGUGACCCUCUUCUAGAGGCUGUUUCCCACUGCCUCGUGCUUUCCUGAAAAUGUUGGGCUUUGCUCUCUCUCUGCCCUGGAAUAAGGAGAGGAUCAUCGGUACCCAAAAGGGAGUGGGGACCCCAAGAAUACCAGGCUAUAUUUGAAGAAGAUGCUUCUAGAAGUCACUUUACGUUGUUCCUCUCCCAUAUCUCAAGCCUCAACAUCGCUCUGGCUCAACCUUGAUCCAUCCAGGGCCCCAUCCUGCCAAGAUCUGUGGGUCCCAGUAGAAGGCCUGGGGUCUCCUCCAGGGGUCCCCCAGCUUCCCCUACCCCUAUUGCUCUAGAGAUGCAAACGUGGAAGCAAGGAGUCCCGCCUCCCCUGAACCAUCCAAGAUUCCAUUUCUCCCCCUGCCCGCCCCUCUCCACGCCCUCCCCCAGCUGCUUUUGUGCAACAAAGGCAAAGGAAAAAAAAAAAAGACCAAGGGAACAGAAGGGGAGGGAGCCACGUUGGCCGGCCGUGGGCAGCUGGGUGGCCCCCCAAAGAGGAAGGGGAGUCCUCCCAGCUCUUCAGGCCCUGACGUCUGGACUCUGUGGUGCCGGACAGGGAGGGGAGCAGGGCUGAGGGAAGCCCAUGACGAGGCUUUGCCGGCCUUGACCACGCGAUGCUGUGAGACCUCCAGAAGUGUGCAGGCCAUACAGGGCACCAAGGCCUGGGCGUGAGAGGCAAACGUGGGGCCCCCGGGAUGACAGUGAUGAAGCGGUGGGUGUGGAUAGAGCCAUGGCCCCAGAGAGUGCCAGGAUGCUGAGGCUGAAGGGUUGGGGAAAAGGGAGCCCGCCAGGGACAGGGAAGGGCAGCCAGAGAAGGAGAUGAGGAGCAGAGGGGUCAGGGGUCCUAGAAGGAGGGGAGCUGGGCACUGCAGACAGGGCCGUGUGACCAGGAGUAGAGCUACGUGGGACCCUGCCUUGUGGCGUGGUGGGCGAGAAGUCAGACUGCAGCGGGCUGAGGCCCGGGAGGCUGGGAAAUGGGGUGCCGCUUUUCUUUUCUUUCUUUGCACUCCUGUCUUCCCUUUCAGUCCCUGCCUCUCCCUCUCUCUUCCGUGUGACUUUGUCCUUCUCCAUCCUGCUCCUCUCUGGAGCUCUUUUUUCUGGAUCGCUUUGUCUUUUUGCUCGCUGCCCCCCUUUCCUGUCUCCCCAGGGGACCUGAGCCACUAGAUGUCCACAACCAGGCUGGGCGCCCACCUGUCUUCCAGAGCAAGUCCUCAGCCCAGCCUCCUGAGGGGGAAGCUUGAUUUCCAGUCCUGGCCAGAUCCUGCCCCAUUCUCUGGGACGCCUCAGCCCAAGGGGGACAACUUGGGGCAGAGGAAACAGGGAAUAGGCUGGCACGGGAAGGGCUGGAGUGUGGCCCGCAGGUGACACCAGGAUCAAGGUGGCCCCGGGCUCCUGUGCCAACACUGCCCAUCCCCCAAGGUGAGAACACGCUGGGGCAGGAGUUGUUGGGCUUGGGGACCUCAGUCCUCGCUGCUGCUCUGUGGCCAUCACACCUGAGGGUCAGUCCCCACCCAUCCUCCAAGUCCCCAGGCGGGGCUCUGUGAGCUGCAGCCGCAGCCCUAGCCCCUCACAGUCAGAGGGCAGAGAAAGUUCUGCUUGAGGCUUGGAUGAGUGGGCAAUUGGAUUUUUAUUUACUCCUUUCUGGUUUGGUUCAGCUCUGGGCUUAUUUGAUCUCAUUUCCGGUCCUCAAUUCCUUGCUCCCUUCCUAUUUUCUAUGCGUUUGCCUCUUCCCGUCCCUCUUCAUCUCUCCCUCUCUCCCUCAGCCUUUUCCCUCUUCAUGGACUUUGCUUCCUUCUCUUAGUUUUCUCUUCCCAUCCCUCUGCCCCUGAGCAUUGUCCCACCCCUCCACCCACGCACUCCUUUCUCCUCCUCCUUUCUCUCUCUCUCCCUGUUCUCUUCCGGUGUGGUGUCUGCUUCUGCAGGCUCUGGAUUUCUGGUGCCUCCAUCCCAUCCUGGGGGGCGGCACUCUGCCCCUGCCAGAGGCAAAGUGGGGACCGAGAAGCCCAUCUUGCAGUUCUGGGUCCUGCUCAGUAAAGUGGAAGCUUCCAGAGACGCCCAGGUGUUGAAACGGCUUUGCAGGGGGGCUUUGCAGCUGCACCCGGGCUGGGCAGGUGACAGGGCCCCAUGCAGAAUCCGAAUGUCAGGGAAGACCACACCGCGCCUGGAAGCCCAACACAGCCGAGAGAGAAACAGACAAUCAAGGCAUUGAAAAAGUGGAGGAGAAGCCUGGAAAAACUGGCUGGGGCCAAUGUCUAGAGGUAUGGGACUCCGGAUUCUCAUUCUGAAGGCCACAGGGAGCCAGUAACAGCUCUUGAGCAGGGCAUGGUUUGAUCCUUUUGCCAAGGAUUUGUCACCUUGGAGACAGCAGACGGACUCAGGUAAAAAUCUGGGGCUCUGCGGGGAGGGGAAGGUGGUGGGAUUUGCAGUUCUGGGAUUGACAAGAAAACAGGACAUGAGGCCAGGUAAAUAGGUAGACCAGAUGGCCCCUCCAAAGUUCACGUUCUGUCUCUCCUGCAAUCCAGUGUUCUAGUUUCCAGGUAGGAAUUUCGUGGCAUAGGCGAAGCCACUGAGGCACAGAAAAGGCCAAUCACCGCCCCAGGUCACGCAGCUAGGGUUGAGGCCUUGGAUGUAAGAUCCCUGCUGCACUCAUUUCAAGACUCCGGGUAGCAUGGGCUCCAGCUGCCUGGCCAGGCCUGCAGAUGGGGAUGAGGGCCAGCUGAUGGGGGACAGUCUUCUGGAGCCCCUCUCUGUAGAGCCAUGUGGCCCGAGGGGGAAGGGAGCCUGGUGGGCAGGGAGGAGCUGCCACAUGGAAGAGGCUUGAUGGGAACCAUCUGGCCUGUGCUGGGAGUGUGGGCUGCAGGAGGAGGGCGGGGCAGGAGGUGGGCAGGAGGCCAUGGUGGGCUGGGCCGGCCCGCUGGUGGAUGGCGGCCGGGGCUGGGAGCGGUGGCCCAGAGGCCCCUGCCUUCCAGACGGCUGUAGCCCAGAUGCCUUUGCAGCCGGCCUGGCCCCGUCCAACCCGCUGACCUCAUUCCCAGCGCCUCCUCCCUCCUCGCAGGCUCCUCGCCUGCCUGCCACGUAGACUCGGCCACAGGGGGAAGGAGAGUGGGACCCAGGUGCCCUGAGCCCAGAGCCCUGCCAGGACCUACAGAGCUGUGGGCAGCCGCUGUGACCACUUGGGGCCUCAGUUUCCUCUCCCCAAACAUGAGGUCCGGUAAAUGAGGGGGACUGGGGUGAUGGGAGAAGCCAGAUGAGAAGCAGGGUGGAGUGAGGAGCGGGGAACCAAGGGGGCUUCCUGGACUCGUGAGAGCCUUCCCCGCCUUCUGGGCUCCCGGGUGCUGUCCUCACAUCUCAGCAUCGCACUGGCUGUUGGGUGCAGAGAGCAGCACGCUGUCCCCUGUCGGGCUCCUCAGAGCCCCCCAUCCUGCCCCCCGGCCCGGCGUAUCUGCCUCCCUGCCCCCCAGGUCCUGGUGUUACUGUCCUGAGGAGCUGGGGCUGUCCCUGCCGUCUGCCCAGGCGUUCCCGGCCGCUCUCCCUUCCAAAAACUCCGGUCCCCCGGACACCCAGGGACCUCCUCCACCCUCAGGCCAUCUUUGCAGCUUGGCCUGGCUCUGGCCCCAGGCUGCACCCUUCGAGGAACUUCUGCUGAGGAGCUGCUCAGAGCUCGGAAGGACCUUCCCGAGAGGAGAGGAGGAGAGAGAGACACAGAGAGAGAGGUGGAGCCAGUUUCCUGGAGUCACAGAGCUGGGAAGUAGCUGCACUGAGAUGAAAACCCAGAAAGUCUCAUGCUUCACUCAGAGACCCAGGACGGAUGCCAAGUGGACCACCCCACCCCACUGCAGAAGUGGCUGUUUGCAGGAAUGCGCUGUCUCCUCUUGGGCUCAUGCACGGGAAGGACCACAGCAUAACGUGGCUGAAACUGACCACAGGCACUAGCCGAGUGGCCAGUCCCAGCUACCCCGCCCUGCCUCCCGUCUGCCCAGGGGCUACUGUGAGCUGACCACACCACGACACACACAGCAUCUCAUUUAUUUCAUUAAAAAAAAACUCUCCCUCCAUUUAUUUUCCUUUUCUUUUUUCUCUAUUUUUCAUUAGUGUAUAUUUGUGACAUAAGAAAUGCAUUCAUCAUGGGGAAUCGGCACCUAUACAAACUCUGGUCUUAAUCCUUUUUACUCCCUUUCUCUCCCCACUCUCCUAUCUCCACCACCCUCAGACUCCCCCUCCCCUCCUUUGCUUUGAUUUAUUGAUCCUUUGUAUUGGGUUUUUUGGUACCGGGGAUCGAACUCGGGUCCUUGUGCUUGAGCAGCAGGCAACGAAACCACUAAGCUAAAUCCCAGGCCCUGUAUUGGUUUUUAAUCUCAAUUCAUUAAUUUCCAUUCUGAUCAUUACAAUCUCUUUCCUUCUAUUAGUUUC